GCAGAUUUCGAAAAUGAUGACCAUUUUGGAUUCCAAGAUGGCGGCCAUGCACUAUGUCAUAAAAUCUUCAUGGAUGUCAUUUUAGGGAGUACCGGUUUCGAAAAUAAUGACUAUUUUGGAAUCCAAGAUGUCUGCAGUGCACUUUGUCAUGAAAGUCGUC
Long non-coding RNA from Cydia splendana, 160 nucleotides. RefSeq lists it as uncharacterized. Lineage: Eukaryota; Metazoa; Arthropoda; Insecta; Lepidoptera; Tortricidae. The record is from RefSeq and is a predicted model, not a curated record. The transcript is spliced from 3 exons.